RNAcentral lists this ribosomal RNA (437 nucleotides) under Paraphanocles keratosqueleton. Its description in RNAcentral is "partial 16S ribosomal RNA". It matches the Rfam family "Bacterial large subunit ribosomal RNA", at positions 1916 to 2566 of the family's 2925-position model. The record is from RNAcentral. Lineage: Eukaryota; Metazoa; Arthropoda; Insecta; Phasmatodea; Diapheromeridae.
UGAUUUAUUUAAUGGCCGCAGUAUUUUGACUGUGCAAAGGUAGCAUAAUCAUUAGUCUAUUAAUUGUGGGCUUGUAUGAAUGGGUUGACGAGAUAUUGGCUGUCUUAUGGUUAUUAAUAUAAUUUGAAUUUUGAGUUAAAAUGCUUAAGUUUUGUUAUGGGACGAGAAGACCCUAUAGAUCUUUAAUGUUGUUAUAUUUUAGUUAUUGGCUUAUUUUAUUUGGAAUAUCUNAUAACAUUUUUGUUGGGGUGACAUUAGGAUAUAUUUAACUCCUUCUUUUUAGUUACAUUAAUUUAUGAUUAUUUGAACUUUAAUUUUGUUUAUAAGAUGUAGAUACCUUAGGGAUAACAGCGUAAUUUUCUUUGAGAGUUCAUAUCGACAUAAAAGAUUGCGACCUCGAUGUUGGAUUAAGGUAAUUUUUGGGGGUAGGUUCUCAA